This 394-nucleotide long non-coding RNA is filed under the name Androctonus crassicauda. The record is from RNAcentral. Lineage: Eukaryota; Metazoa; Arthropoda; Arachnida; Scorpiones; Buthidae.
AGACUUGAAGAAUGCAAACAAUUAUAAUGACCUUACUCAGCCAUUAAGAAAUGAAGUAUUUUGAAAGUUGUGUCUCCAGUCCAUUGAGAUUGGCAACUGACAAUUCUUGUCAUUCUAAGGAAAUUUGAUGAUUUAAUGACAGUGUGACAUCCUCAUGAGAAGUAAAAAUGACCUGUGUGUCCUAUGGUUUAAGAGCAAAUUUUGAAACUUGGAGUUGUGGUUUUUCAGUUUGUGUACACUCACCCCAAAUUGUAGUCUAUUGAGUCAUGUGCAUUGCACGUUGGAUAAGCCAGGGAAAUGACAAAUAAGUAUUUUGUGUGUAUUUAGUGGUUGCUUUGUACUGAGAGAAAAGCUUUGAGGUGUGAUUAAAUCGUAAACUCUGAUUCUAUUUGGG